AAAUAGUCACCAUUAGUUCAAGGAAUAGAUUCAAGAUAAUCUGGCUACAGUAAAGGAGCUGUUGCAGAGAGGAUUUCAAGAUUCCCAUUAUCGCACUCAGAGCCCUAAUAAUUGCAUUUCUUAAUCUUUUUGAAUGACUGAUAAUAAGCUGAUUUUUAACAAACUAAAUGAACAAUUUCUUUUAGUUCUGUAACCCUAGUUGAAAUAUUUCAAUAAAUAUUUAUUGAUCAUCUCUGAUGAGCCAGGCACUGGGGAUAUACAAAUUAAUGAGACAUGUGGUCCAGAGAGACAUGUGAACAAUGACACGAUGAUGUGGUAAGUGCUCCACUGGGAAUAUGUGUAAAGCGUCAUGGGAACUUUGGGAAGUGAGCAUCUAACUUUGCUUGUGGGAUCUGUGGACAUCUAACAAAGAGAGCAUUUUUUUUUUUUUUUUUUUUGCUGAGUCAUGAGAAAAAUAGAAGAAGGAGUCAGGAAAAAGAAGAAAGGAUGACCCUUCUUAGCAGAAAAUUAAAAUGCAAAGGCAUGGAAUCAUUGUAGAGCAUGGUGAGUUAGGGGUGGAAUGAUGGAUGUAUAUCAAGGAUGUAUGAGUGAGAGGCAGCCAUAAAAGAUAAUAAGACAUUGUAACAGCACAGUGAUAGAGAUAUGCUCUGGAUACUCAUGGAAAUAAAAAGGAGGAAAUUUGGAGACAUUGAAUGAAGGGGAUUCAGCAAAGGCUCCCUGGAGGAAGUGCCCUGGAACAGCACCGACAAAGGCACAGAGGUGAAAGACAGCAUGAUGGCUGCAGGAACUUCACAUCUCAGUGUUGCUGGCGUGUCAAGAAACCCAACUGAACACGUAAGCAGAGAGUCUACAACCUAAACCAGAGGCAGGACCCGGGAGAGGAGUGGGGAACGUUUCCUACGUGAAGGGACCGUUGGGAUUUGAGGCCGGACAAUUACUCGUGGUGUGGGAACAUCCUGCACAUUACCACCAAAAGCCAAGAACAACUCCUGGUCAAUGAGCCCAGUCAGUUCCAGAGCUGUGAAUUCGGAACUCCACUCUGUGGCAUCAUCCUGGACACAAAGUACUGACCCUCGCCUUCCAGACCUCUGCUUUCACCUGACCAGGGAUUAUCAAGGCACUCUGUCCAAAUAAAUGCAGCGUUCUCUUUAGUAGGAAUUGAGAUGAGAUCAUUAAGGUCCGGAAAGAUCAAGUCUGCUCAGAAACAAACAACUAUACAUGGCCACAGAAUGACCUUUAGUCUUAGGCAAUCAUCUUGAAAAUUCUUGUUUUUCAUUUCCAGAAGUCAGGCAAGAAUGCAGAUUACAUCACGUAAUCACCACCCUCCUGCAGGACUCCAGGAAACCUCAAGCCCGUUUAGGUUCUCUUCCUCUAAUUACCAGUACCUUUCUCACUGAAGUAUUUGUCCUAAUCCUUAACCCUGACUUGCAUUUCUUUAUUUUGUCAACUGAGGAAGAGAAACGCCAUAUAAAGGUCUCAGAUAGCAGGUGGAGGGUAGCGGUGGAGAUGCAAGUGUCCUAGAGACAGAUGGGGUUCAAGUCUCAGCUCUCGGUCACCUCCCAACACUCUUCCUGUGGGCAAAUUUCUUAAGGUCUCUAAGUCUAAGUUUUGUAAUGGGAAAAACACCUACUUUGCAGAGUUUUUGUGAGGGUUGGAUGAGCAGCUCCAAACCCACUUUCCUCUAUCACUAUCUAGACCCUUGUUUGGGACAUGUGUCACAAGUCUAGACUUGCCCCUUUUUCACAGCGACCUCCUGGGUGGGAGAAAUCAAGUCUCCUUUCCUAAUCAAUGACUUCAACUGGAACUGCCUCAGUCCUUCAGGUCAGAGAUGCUCUAACAAUACUGACCCUCAAAAGGGAAGAGAUGAAGAUCUCAAUCCCUUUUAUUCCUAAAAGUUUCUUGACACCUUGUGGAAAUGUGUUUUCGUGCUCCCCAUCGCACGUACACCAACCAGCAACUGCCAUAUACCAAGAGCACAGAGAGGGGCUGUGAUUGUCUGGCCAAAUAAAAUCCUACCCCACCACCGUAUACAUCUGUAUUUUAUGUAUUUUCUUCAUCUUUAUAUUAUAUCUUCUUAUAACAUGGAUCAUAAGUAUUUGGUUCUAUUGUAGACUCAGUUGUGUAUUCUUUUUGUUGAUUACAAUGUAAGAAUUUUCAUAUUGCUACAAAAACAGAUGUGCUUGUUACUAUACAUUCACAUAUCUGAAAAGAGCCAAUAAGUGAUUCUUCCUAGAAAAGGAAGGUCUGGCCAAGCUGACCUUAUAUCUCCAACACCCGAAAGACACCUUUAAAUAGCCGUUAACUUUGCUAUAAAAUAUUCCAACAUUUUUUCUCAUUGGGCAACUCUACCAAAAUGAUAAUAUCAUUUAUUGUGUUGCUAUUCUGUUCUAAACAUUUUUGUAAGUGUUAUGCCCAUUUUUCAGACAAGGAAAUUGAGGUGCAAUGGGGUAAAAUAUUCCGCAAAAUGUCACUCAGCUAGCAGACGACAGAGCCUGGAUUCAUAACAGGUGUAUAUGAUUCUGUAAUUGAUGCCUACAUCAUCUUAACAUACAGAAUUCUGCACCAACGAAAUAAAAGCCAAAUGGCUUAAAAAGCAGUUGUGGCAGAAAGUUUUAAACCUAAGACUGUUAAAGAAAACCAGAGCUGGACAGUAGUUAAAGCUAUAAAAGUAGAUUUUAUUCAGAAACGAUUGCAAUAAACAAAAAAAGAUCUCAGUAUAGAACUGGGCUCAAUUCCAAAAACAGCAUGGACAGGCAAGAGUAGGACCAGUGGAUGGGAAAGUACUAAAGGAUUACUUACAUUUUUCACAGAGGUAGGGUGGGGAUUUCUGUCUAAACUGACUCGACAGAGUUCUUGCUGCAGGCAGGCCAGGGUGAUCAGAUAGCACCUCAGGGAUGCGGGGGGAUGAGGAAUCUUCUCAGGUAUUGAGGAUGAUCAGAUAUCAAGGGUAGGGAGUUCUCCCUUAACCGACUUAGCGACAUUCUUGCUACAACUGGGAGAUACAGGUCCAACAAGGACAGACACCAGAUUCAAAGCCUAGAGGGCUUGAAGGAGGCUGACUGGAGUUUAGUCAAGGAGAGUUUUUGUCGAGACACAGGCAGCGACUGAAGCUCAAAAACUGCGUCCUGGCAGAGAGGAGCUAGAGUGAACUCCCAAGGAAGUUAUGUGCAGUAGGCCACACCUGACAGCGUGGAUGGGCUGCAGGAGCAAUAGAGCCAUUUGGCUGCCUGCAUGAUCAGAGACCUGGCUUUGUGCUCUCACUGACUAUUCGGUCCAGCGUUCGCUGAGACCACAGAAUGGCGGAGCCCAUGAAAACUUUCCAUGAGACAUUCCAUGUUCUAGUCUAUGUUAAAUCCAGUGACAAGCUGAAAGAUACAUAUAAAACGCAAAAGUUGUCAAAAUGACCUUACCUAAGAGCUCUAAUAUUUUAUAAGAAAAGUUUAAAAGAUAGGCAAAUGGAUAAAAAAAGAUGUGGUGUAUGUAGGCACACACACGCACACACACACAAAAUCCUACCAUUUGCAACAACAUGGAUAUAUCUUGAGGACAUUAUGCUAAGUGAGAUAAAUCAGACAAAGAAAGAAAAAUACCAUAUGAUAUUGCUUAUGUCUGGGAUCUAAAAAAGCCAAAUUUAUAGAAACAGAGAGUAAAAUGGCGGUUACCAGGAACUGGGGGUGGGGAAAUAAAGGAUGUAUUGUUUAAGGGGUACAAUCUUGCAACUAGUAGGUAAAUAUGUCCCAGAAAUCUAAUGCACGGGAUAGUGAAUACAGACAACAUUAUUCUAUUACAAUCAUAUAACCUUGCUAAGAGACGAGAUCUUAAUUAUUCCCACCACAAAAAAGAACUGAUAAUUAUGUGACAUGAUAGAGGAGUUAACAUUGCUACAAUGACGAUCACAUUUAACUUAUGUAUGCAGUAUAUAAAUAAUACAUAAAUAUAUU
Molecule: long non-coding RNA, 3941 nt
Filed under: Equus caballus (horse)
Lineage: Eukaryota; Metazoa; Chordata; Mammalia; Perissodactyla; Equidae
Description: lncRNA (ENSECAG00000044415.1)
Source: RNAcentral